Molecule: transfer RNA, 73 nt
Filed under: Bacteroidaceae bacterium
Lineage: Bacteria; Pseudomonadati; Bacteroidota; Bacteroidia; Bacteroidales; Bacteroidaceae
Description: tRNA-Phe
Rfam family: tRNA
About the family: Transfer RNA (tRNA) molecules are approximately 80 nucleotides in length. Their secondary structure includes four short double-helical elements and three loops (D, anti-codon, and T loops). Further hydrogen bonds mediate the characteristic L-shaped molecular structure. tRNAs have two regions of fundamental functional importance: the anti-codon, which is responsible for specific mRNA codon recognition, and the 3' end, to which the tRNAs corresponding amino acid is attached (by aminoacyl-tRNA synthetases). tRNAs cope with the degeneracy of the genetic code in two manners: having more than one tRNA (with a specific anti-codon) for a particular amino acid; and 'wobble' base-pairing, i.e. permitting non-standard base-pairing at the 3rd anti-codon position.
Source: RNAcentral
GUGGGAGUAGCUGAGUUGGUUUUAGCGGUAGGUUGAAGCCCUACAGACGGAGGUUCAAUUCCUUCUUCCCACA